Molecule: unclassified non-coding RNA, 317 nt
Filed under: Hevea brasiliensis (rubber tree)
Lineage: Eukaryota; Viridiplantae; Streptophyta; Magnoliopsida; Malpighiales; Euphorbiaceae
Source: RNAcentral
GGAAAAAGAUACAGAAUGAUAAAACCAUAAAUAAGAAAAGAUGGUGAAGUAAAAAAAGAAGUGAAAGUAAUGGUUCCUUGUACUUUCUAUUUGUUUUGAUUAAACUCUGGAUGUCCCAAGCUUCCUUUCAAACAAGCGCUGCAGCAAGUAAACUUGGAGGACACUGGCCCCUACCAAUGCUGCUGAUUCAAACAUUGCCUUGUGGAUUGCUCUUUUGCUCAUUCCAUCAUUCACUAUUGCCUGGCGAUCAGUCUGAGCCUCUAACCAAUGCUGUUCAAACUGAAUAUUGUAAAGAGCUUCCUCCAACUUAGAUAUUU